UACGGUGGGUGCGAGCGUUGUCCGGAAUCAUUGGGCGUAAAGGGCGCGUAGGUGGCCCGGUCAGUCUUUGGUGAAAGCGCGGGGCUCAACCCUGCGUCGGCCAGGGAUACUGCCGCGGCUCGAGCACUGUAGAGGCAGGCGGAAUUCCGGGUGUAGCGGUGGAAUGCGUAGAGAUCCGGAAGAACCCCGGUGGCGAAGGCGGCCUGGUGGGCAGUUUGGCUGACACUGAGGCGCGACAGCGUGGGGAGCAAACAGG
RNAcentral lists this ribosomal RNA (256 nucleotides) under uncultured bacterium. RNAcentral describes it as "partial 16S ribosomal RNA". It matches the Rfam family "Bacterial small subunit ribosomal RNA", at positions 524 to 776 of the family's 1533-position model. The record is from RNAcentral.